AUGAACGCUGGCGGCGUGCUUCACACAUGCAAGUCGAACGAUGAAGCCCAGCUUGCUGGGUGGAUUAGUGGCGAACGGGUGAGUAACACGUGAGUAACCUGCCCUUAACUCUGGGAUAAGCCUGGGAAACUGGGUCUAAUACCGGAUAGGAGCGCCUACCGCAUGGUGGGUGUUGGAAAGAUUUAUCGGUUUUGGAUGGACUCGCGGCCUAUCAGCUUGUUGGUGAGGUAAUGGCUCACCAAGGCGACGACGGGUAGCCGGCCUGAGAGGGUGACCGGCCACACUGGGACUGAGACACGGCCCAGACUCCUACGGGAGGCAGCAGUGGGGAAUAUUGCACAAUGGGCGAAAGCCUGAUGCAGCGACGCCGCGUGAGGGAUGACGGCCUUCGGGUUGUAAACCUCUUUCAGUAGGGAAGAAGCGAAAGUGACGGUACCUGCAGAAGAAGCACCGGCUAACUACGUG
RNAcentral lists this ribosomal RNA (465 nucleotides) under uncultured bacterium. RNAcentral's name for it is "partial 16S ribosomal RNA". It matches the Rfam family "Bacterial small subunit ribosomal RNA", at positions 29 to 507 of the family's 1533-position model. The record is from RNAcentral.